CUAAUUUUGAUUUUGCUAUUCAUUGCAGGUUACGUAAUCCUAUUGUAAAAACAAAAUUAUCAUAUCUAACUACCAAGUGCUUUCGACAAGAUUAUGAUACCGUUGAUUGCUCUACUACACUCUCAAAUACAUGGACGAUAUCUUACAAUCCAUGAAGGAGGUUGGAGUCGAAAACAUUGAUGCCGUUUUAUAUGACACUCCAAGGGAAACACGCCCUUUGAGAGAUGGGAAAAUGUGUGAAUUGAAAGACAAGAUUACCGCGUAUCUUGCUAAUUUUAGUUCUUGGUAAAUAAUGUAAUUAGUUUAGAUUUAGGAUUUUAAUUUGUAUAUGUACAUAUUAUUAUAUAUACGAUCGAGAGUUUACA
This is a long non-coding RNA of Amaranthus tricolor (Joseph's coat), 365 nucleotides long. RefSeq lists it as uncharacterized. The record is from RefSeq and is a predicted model, not a curated record. The transcript is spliced from 3 exons. NCBI's taxonomy places the organism in Eukaryota, Viridiplantae, Streptophyta, Magnoliopsida, Caryophyllales, Amaranthaceae.